Molecule: ribosomal RNA, 1944 nt
Filed under: human gut metagenome
Description: bacterial LSU rRNA
Rfam family: Bacterial large subunit ribosomal RNA
Source: RNAcentral
UUAAGUGACUAAGCGUACAUGGUGGAUGCCUUGGCAGUCAGAGGCGAUGAAGGACGUACUAACCUGCGAUAAGCCGUGAGCAGUCGGUAAGAGACAUUACGACUCACGGAUUUCCGAAUGGGGAAACCCACUCAGCAUAAGCUGGGUAUCGCUGCGUGAAUACAUAGCGCAGCGAGGCGAACCGGGAGAACUGAAACAUCUAAGUACCCCGAGGAAAAGAAAUCAACCGAGAUUCCCUCAGUAGCGGCGAGCGAACGGGGAUUAGCCCUUAAGCAUCUUGGAAGUUAGUGGAACGGUCCUGGAAAGGCCGGCGAUACAGGGUGAUAGCCCCGUACACGAAAACAACCUUGAUGUGAAAUCGAGUAGGGCGGGACACGUGACAUCCUGUCUGAAUAUGGGGGGACCAUCCUCCAAGGCUAAAUACUCCUGACUGACCGAUAGUGAACCAGUACCGUGAGGGAAAGGCGAAAAGAACCCCGGCGAGGGGAGUGAAAAAGAACCUGAAACCGUGUACGUACAAGCAGUGGGAGCCUACUUGUUAGGUGACUGCGUACCUUUUGUAUAAUGGGUCAGCGACUUAUAUUCUGUAGCAAGGUUAACCGUAUAGGGGAGCCGCAGGGAAACCGAGUCUUAACUGGGCGUUAAGUUGCAGGGUAUAGACCCGAAACCCGGUGAUCUAGCCAUGGGCAGGUUGAAGGUUGGGUAACACUAACUGGAGGACCGAACCGACUAAUGUUGAAAAAUUAGCGGAUGACUUGUGGCUGGGGGUGAAAGGCCAAUCAAACCGGGAGAUAGCUGGUUCUCCCCGAAAGCUAUUUAGGUAGCGCCUCGUGAACUCAUCUUCGGGGGUAGAGCACUGUUUCGGCUAGGGGGUCAUCCCGACUUACCAACCCGAUGCAAACUACGAAUACCGAAGAAUGUUAUCACGGGAGACACACGGCGGGUGCUAACGUCCGUCGUGAAGAGGGAAACAACCCAGACCGCCAGCUAAGGUCCCAAAGUCAUGGUUAAGUGGGAAACGAUGUGGGAAGGCACAGACAGCCAGGAUGUUGGCUUAGAAGCAGCCAUCAUUUAAAGAAAGCGUAAUAGCUCACUGGUCGAGUCGGCCUGCGCGGAAGAUGUAACGGGGCUAAACCAUGCACCGAAGCUGCGGCAGCGACACUAUGUGUUGUUGGGUAGGGGAGCGUUCUGUAAGCCGUUGAAGGUGGCCUGUGAGGGUUGCUGGAGGUAUCAGAAGUGCGAAUGCUGACAUAAGUAACGAUAAAGCGGGUGAAAAGCCCGCUCGCCGGAAGACCAAGGGUUCCUGUCCAACGUUAAUCGGGGCAGGGUGAGUCGACCCCUAAGGCGAGGCCGAAAGGCGUAGUCGAUGGGAAACAGGUUAAUAUUCCUGUACUCGGUGUUACUGCGAAGGGGGGACGGAGAAGGCUAUGUUAGCCGGGCGACGGUUGUCCCGGUUUAAGCAUGUAGGCGGGAAGUUUAGGUAAAUCCGGACUUCUUUUAACGCUGAGGUGUGAUGACGAGGCACUACGGUGCUGAAGUAACAAAUGCCCUGCUUCCAGGAAAAGCCUCUAAGCAUCAGGUAACAACGAAUCGUACCCCAAACCGACACAGGUGGUCAGGUAGAGAAUACCAAGGCGCUUGAGAGAACUCGGGUGAAGGAACUAGGCAAAAUGGUGCCGUAACUUCGGGAGAAGGCACGCUGAUGGUAGGUGAAGUGACUUGCUCAUGGAGCUGAAAUCAGUCGAAGAUACCAGCUGGCUGCAACUGUUUAUUAAAAACACAGCACUGUGCAAACACGAAAGUGGACGUAUACGGUGUGACGCCUGCCCGGUGCCGGAAGGUUAAUUGAUGGGGUUAUCCGUAAGGAGAAGCUCUUGAUCGAAGCCCCGGUAAACGGCGGCCGUAACUAUAACGGUCCUAAGGUAGCGAAAUUCCUUGUCGGGU